Molecule: ribosomal RNA, 492 nt
Filed under: uncultured bacterium
Lineage: Bacteria
Description: partial 16S ribosomal RNA
Rfam family: Bacterial small subunit ribosomal RNA
Source: RNAcentral
AGUGAACGCUGGCGGUAGGCCUAACACAUGCAAGUCGAACGGCAGCACAGUAAGAGCUUGCUCUUACGGGUGGCGAGUGGCGGACGGGUGAGGAAUACAUCGGAAUCUACUUUUUCGUGGGGGAUAACGUAGGGAAACUUACGCUAAUACCGCAUACGACCUACGGGUGAAAGCAGGGGAUCUUCGGACCUUGCGCGAUUGAAUGAGCCGAUGUCGGAUUAGCUAGUUGGCGGGGUAAAGGCCCACCAAGGCGACGAUCCGUAGCUGGUCUGAGAGGAUGAUCAGCCACACUGGAACUGAGACACGGUCCAGCCUCCUACGGGAGGCAGCAGUGGGGAAUAUUGGACAAUGGGCGCAAGCCUGAUCCAGCCAUACCGCGUGAGUGAAGAAGGCCUUCGGGUUGUAAAGCCCUUUUGUUGGGAAAGAAAAGCAGCAGGUUAAUACCCCGCUGUUCUGACGGUACCCAAAGAAUAAGCACCGGCUAACUUCGUG